Molecule: ribosomal RNA, 508 nt
Filed under: uncultured bacterium
Lineage: Bacteria
Description: bacterial SSU rRNA
Rfam family: Bacterial small subunit ribosomal RNA
Source: RNAcentral
AACGAACGCUGGCGGCGUGCCUAACACAUGCAAGUCGAGCGAGAAAGUGGCUUCGGCCAUGAGUAAAGCGGCGAACGGGUGCGUAACACGUAGGUAACCUGCCCCUUAAACUGGGACAACCUGUCGAAAGAUGGGCUAAUACCGGAUAAGACCACAUUUCGUGCUUCGUAAUGUGGUAAAAGAUGGCCUCUACUUGUAAGCUAUCAUUAAGGGAUGGGCCUGCGCACCAUUAGCUAGUUGGUAGGGUAAUGGCCUACCAAGGCUACGAUGGUUAGCUGGUCUUAGAGGAUGAUCAGCCACACUGGAACUGAAACACGGUCCAGACUCCUACGGGAGGCAGCAGUGGGGAAUAUUGCGCAAUGGGGGAAACCCUGACGCAGCAACGCCGCGUGAGUGACGAAGGCUUUCGGGUGUAAAACUCUGUCGGAAGAGACGAAAUUACUUGGUGCUAAUAUCAUCAGGUAUUGACGGUAUCUUUCAAAGGAAGCACCGGCUAACUCCGUGCCAG